Molecule: ribosomal RNA, 1372 nt
Filed under: uncultured bacterium
Lineage: Bacteria
Description: bacterial SSU rRNA
Rfam family: Bacterial small subunit ribosomal RNA
Source: RNAcentral
GAUGAACGCUGGCGGCGUGCCUAAUACAUGCAAGUCGAGCGAACGGACGAGAAGCUUGCUUUUCUGAUGUUAGCGGCGGACGGGUGAGUAACACGUGGAUAACCUACCUAUAAGACUGGGAUAACUUCGGGAAACCGGAGCUAAUACCGGAUAAUAUUUUGAACCGCAUGGUUCAAAAGUGAAAGACGGUCUUGCUGUCACUUAUAGAUGGAUCCGCGCUGCAUUAGCUAGUUGGUAAGGUAACGGCUUACCAAGGCAACGAUGCAUAGCCGACCUGAGAGGGUGAUCGGCCACACUGGAACUGAGACACGGUCCAGACUCCUACGGGAGGCAGCAGUAGGGAAUCUUCCGCAAUGGGCGAAAGCCUGACGGAGCAACGCCGCGUGAGUGAUGAAGGUCUUCGGAUCGUAAAACUCUGUUAUUAGGGAAGAACAUAUGUGUAAGUAACUGUGCACAUCUUGACGGUACCUAAUCAGAAAGCCACGGCUAACUACGUGCCAGCAGCCGCGGUAAUACGUAGGUGGCAAGCGUUAUCCGGAAUUAUUGGGCGUAAAGCGCGCGUAGGCGGUUUUUUAAGUCUGAUGUGAAAGCCCACGGCUCAACCGUGGAGGGUCAUUGGAAACUGGAAAACUUGAGUGCAGAAGAGGAAAGUGGAAUUCCAUGUGUAGCGGUGAAAUGCGCAGAGAUAUGGAGGAACACCAGUGGCGAAGGCGACUUUCUGGUCUGUAACUGACGCUGAUGUGCGAAAGCGUGGGGAUCAAACAGGAUUAGAUACCCUGGUAGUCCACGCCGUAAACGAUGAGUGCUAAGUGUUAGGGGGUUUCCGCCCCUUAGUGCUGCAGCUAACGCAUUAAGCACUCCGCCUGGGGAGUACGACCGCAAGGUUGAAACUCAAAGGAAUUGACGGGGACCCGCACAAGCGGUGGAGCAUGUGGUUUAAUUCGAAGCAACGCGAAGAACCUUACCAAAUCUUGACAUCCUUUGACAACUCUAGAGAUAGAGCCUUCCCCUUCGGGGGACAAAGUGACAGGUGGUGCAUGGUUGUCGUCAGCUCGUGUCGUGAGAUGUUGGGUUAAGUCCCGCAACGAGCGCAACCCUUAAGCUUAGUUGCCAUCACUAAGUUGGGCACUCUAAGUUGACUGCCGGUGACAAACCGGAGGAAGGUGGGGAUGACGUCAAAUCAUCAUGCCCCCUAUGAUUUGGGCUACACACGUGCUACAAUGGACAAUACAAAGGGCAGCGAAACCGCGAGGUCAAGCAAAUCCCAUAAAGUUGUUCUCAGUUCGGAUUGUAGUCUGCAACUCGACUACAUGAAGCUGGAAUCGCUAGUAAUCGUAGAUCAGCAUGCUACGGUGAAUACGUUCCCGGGUCU